AACGAACGCUGGCGGCAGGCCUAACACAUGCAAGUCGAGCGCCCUUUCGGGGGUGCGGCGGACGGGUGAGUAACGCGUGGGAAUAUGCCCUUCUCUACGGAAUAGCCUCGGGAAACUGAGAGUAAUACCGUAUACGCCCUUUGGGGGAAAGAUUUAUCGGGGAAGGAUUAGCCCGCGUUGGAUUAGGUAGUUGGUGGGGUAAUGGCCUACCAAGCCGACGAUCCAUAGCUGGUUUGAGAGGAUGAUCAGCCACACUGGGACUGAGACACGGCCCCGACUCCUACGGGAGGCAGCAGUGGGGAAUAUUAGACAAUGGGGGCAACCCUGAUCAAGCCAUGCCGCGUGAGUGAUGAAGGCCUUAGGGUUGUAAAGCUCUUUCAGCUGGGAAGAUAAUGACGGUACCAGCAGAAGAAGCCCCGGCUAACUCCGUG
RNAcentral lists this ribosomal RNA (431 nucleotides) under uncultured bacterium. RNAcentral describes it as "partial 16S ribosomal RNA". It matches the Rfam family "Bacterial small subunit ribosomal RNA", at positions 29 to 507 of the family's 1533-position model. The record is from RNAcentral.